Molecule: ribosomal RNA, 493 nt
Filed under: uncultured bacterium
Lineage: Bacteria
Description: partial 16S ribosomal RNA
Rfam family: Bacterial small subunit ribosomal RNA
Source: RNAcentral
AUUGAACGCUGGCGGCACGCUUUACACAUGCAAGUCGAACGGUAACAGGUUAAGCUGACGAGUGGCGAACGGGUGAGUAAUGCAUCGGAACGUGCCCGGUCGUGGGGGAUAACGCAGCGAAAGCUGCGCUAAUACCGCAUACGAUCUGAGGAUGAAAGCGGGGGACCGUAAGGCCUCGCGCGAUCGGAGCGGCCGAUGUCAGAUUAGGUAGUUGGUGGGGUAAAGGCUCACCAAGCCAACGAUCUGUAGCUGGUCUGAGAGGACGACCAGCCACACUGGGACUGAGACACGGCCCAGACUCCGACGGGAGGCAGCAGUGGGGAAUUUUGGACAAUGGGCGAAAGCCUGAUCCAGCAAUGCCGCGUGCAGGAAGAAGGCCUUCGGGUUGUAAACUGCUUUUGUACGGAGCGAAAAGGUCUCCUCUAAUACAGGGGGCUCAUGACGGUACCGUAAGAAUAAGCACCGGCUAACUACGUGCCAGCCGCCGCAGUAA